AUUGAACGCUGGCGGCAGGCCUAACACAUGCAAGUCGAGCGCGCGGCGGACGGGUGUGUAAUAUAUGGGGAUCUGCCCGAUAGAGGGGGAUAACUACUGGAAACGGUUGCUAAUACCGCAUACUAUCGGAUGAACCCAUAUUGGAUUAGCUAGUAGGUGGGGGAAAGGCUCACCUAGGCGACGAUGUCUAGCUGGUCUGAGAGGAUGAGCAGACACACUGGGACUGAGACACGGCCCAGAAUCCUACGGGAGGCAGCAGUGGGGAAUAUUGCACAAUGGGCGCAAGCCUGAUGCAGCCAUGCCGCGUGUAUGAAGAAGGCCUUAGGGUGGUAAAGUACUUGCAGCGGGGAGGCGUUACCCGCAGAAGAAGCACCGGCUAACUACGUGCCAGCAGCCGCGGUAAUAC
RNAcentral lists this ribosomal RNA (406 nucleotides) under uncultured bacterium. RNAcentral's name for it is "partial 16S ribosomal RNA". It matches the Rfam family "Bacterial small subunit ribosomal RNA", at positions 30 to 526 of the family's 1533-position model. The record is from RNAcentral.